This is a long non-coding RNA of Xyrauchen texanus (razorback sucker), 288 nucleotides long. RefSeq lists it as uncharacterized. The record is from RefSeq and is a predicted model, not a curated record. Lineage: Eukaryota; Metazoa; Chordata; Actinopteri; Cypriniformes; Catostomidae. The transcript is spliced from 5 exons.
AACAAACAGACGUCCAAAACAGGGUCAGGAAAAAAGAGAUAAAAACGUAUGCAAUGAAAAUGACAAAAUGAGUUAUGAUUAAAAAAAAAAAGGGUCGUUUAUGUGGCGCGUGCACGUUUUUAUGCGCGUGAUCAAGUCUACAGCAUCGCCUCGAGAGCCAACGGACUCUCUUUGAUCAAUUUUCAUCUGAUUUUUGAGCUACAUACACCCCAAAGGCUCUUUUCAGAGCCAAUUUUACACAGCGUCUUUGCCUUUGUACAGCAAUGUUCAGCCCCACUCAUAUUCCAG